GGACGUUUGAGAUUUGAGAGGGGCUGCUCCUAGUACGAGAGGACCGGAGUGGACGAACCGCUGGUGUUCGGGUUGUGUCGCCAGACGCAUUGCCCGGUAGCUAUGUUCGGACGGGAUAACCGCUGAAAGCAUCUAAGCGGGAAGCCCCCCUCGAGAUGAGUGUUGCUCGAGACCCCCGGUAGACCACCGGGUUGAUAGGCCGGAUGUGUACGUGCAGAGAUGCACUCAGCAAACCGGUACUAACGGUCGAAAGCUUG
This 257-nucleotide ribosomal RNA is filed under the name Chloroparvula japonica. RNAcentral's name for it is "partial Bacterial large subunit ribosomal RNA". It matches the Rfam family "Bacterial large subunit ribosomal RNA", at positions 2649 to 2925 of the family's 2925-position model. Lineage: Eukaryota; Viridiplantae; Chlorophyta; Chloropicophyceae; Chloropicales; Chloropicaceae. The record is from RNAcentral.